Molecule: ribosomal RNA, 520 nt
Filed under: uncultured Glomus
Lineage: Eukaryota; Fungi; Glomeromycota; Glomeromycetes; Glomerales; Glomeraceae
Description: SSU rRNA
Rfam family: Eukaryotic small subunit ribosomal RNA
Source: RNAcentral
AGCAGCCGCGGUAAUUCCAGCUCCAAUAGCGUAUAUUAAAAGUUGUUGCAGUUAAAAAAGCUCGUAGUUGAAUUUCGGGAUCAAUAUGUCUGUCGUGCCUUCGGUACGUACGGGUAUAAUUGGUUUCUACCUUCUGAUGAACCUUGAUGCCAUUAAUUUGGUGUCUUGGGGACUCAGGACUGUUACCUUGAAAAAAUUAGAGUGUUUAAAGCAGGCAUACGCUUGAAUACAUUAGCAUGGAAUAAUGAAAUAGGACGUUCGAUUCUAUUUUGUUGGUUUUCUAGGAUCGACGUAAUGAUUAAUAGGGAUAGUUGGGGGCAUUAGUAUUCAAUUGUCAGAGGUGAAAUUCUUGGAUUUAUUGAAGACUAACUACUGCGAAAGCAUUUGCCAAGGAUGUUUUCAUUAAUCAAGAACGAAAGUUAGGGGAUCGAAGACGAUCAGAUACCGUCGUAGUCUUAACCAUAAACUAUGCCGACUAGGGAUCGGAUGAUGUUAAUUUUUAAUGACUCAUUCGGCGUCC